CGCAUCUGUGCAUGCAGCAUAUCAAUAAGGGAGGAAAAGAAACUAACAAGGAUUCCCCUAGUAACGGCGAGUGAAGCGGGAAGAGCUCAAAUUUGAAAUCUUAAAGGGUUUCCCUUUACGAAUUGUAGUUUAAAGAAGUGUUUUCUGUUGAGGUUUUGGUAAAAGUUCUUUGGAAUAGGACAUCAUAGAGGGUGAGAAUCCCGUAUUUGACCUUUACUUUCAACUUUGUGAUACACUUUCAAAGAGUCGGAUUGUUUGGGAAUGCAGUCCAAAAUGGGUGGUAAAUUUCAUCUAAAGCUAAAUAUUGGCGAGAGACCGAUAGCGAACAAGUACCGUGAGGGAAAGAUGAAAAGAACUUUGAAAAGAGAGUUAAACAGUACGUGAAAUUGUCAAAAGGGAAGCGUCUGACACCAGUGUUGUUUUUCUGAAAAUCAAUUAAAGAACUGUUUAUGCUAAGUUGUUUAGACUUUAUCAGCUAACUGUUUAGUUUUGAGCUUUUCUUUAAUGCACUUUUCAGGUUAACAAGUCAACAUCAAUUUCUUUUGCUGUAAAAAAGCUUGAGGAAGGUGGCUUGAGAUUCGUCUUAAGUGUUUAUAGCCUCUUGCCUAUGCAGUCGGAGAGAUUGAGGUCUGCAGCGUAGAUCCUUCGGGGCUAAAUGCAUUUGUGCUAAGUUAUAGCAUUUUAUAGACAACUUGUUGACUAUGAUUUGUCUUGUAGCUUACUCGCUUAUGUUAUUUUACCUACGCUUAGGAUGUUGAGCGCAUGUCUCUCUCU
RNAcentral lists this ribosomal RNA (774 nucleotides) under uncultured Neocallimastigales. RNAcentral's name for it is "partial large subunit ribosomal RNA". It matches the Rfam family "Eukaryotic large subunit ribosomal RNA", at positions 24 to 616 of the family's 3401-position model. Lineage: Eukaryota; Fungi; Neocallimastigomycota; Neocallimastigomycetes; Neocallimastigales. The record is from RNAcentral.